UCUUAUUGUCAGGAAAAUUCCCUCUUAUAGGCAAGAAGUGAGUAACAUGUGUUGUUUUUUUUGUCAUAGGCAAACAUUUCGGCUUAUUUCUGUCUCUCUUCUCGGAUUGGACUAUGUGAGACCCCAGAACAAUGUAUGCGUGCCCUUCAGCCCCAGUAUUGGAGGUUUUGGGCCGUCAGGAGAGCUUGUUUGCCUGUGGAGUGGCAGCACAGUAGGCUAGCAAUUGGUGCGCGGCACUGGAGAAGCAUCUGUUCCAUCUACAGGCUCGUUUGGAGGAAAAUAACUAGGAGCGGGAGGGCCAAAUCCCUUCGACCGCAAUGUAGUGCUCGAGCAGGCAUUGCUUGGAUGAUAGGUCCAUAUAGACUGCCUGCUGGCCAGGCCUGGUACAGGCUGGCUGAAAGCGGGAGGGCCAAGUCCCUUUAACCGCUGUAUGGAGAUUUUGUCAAGGUCAGCUGGCUGAAAGUCACUUCUAUGCUACUUUCAAUCUCAUUCAGGAGCUCGUUUUCAACUCGCUCAAGAUUUUUUGAGAGUUGGUCAUCAUUAAGGGUGAACCUUGAGUGGAGGCAGGACAAGUCGCUGGAUUUGGAUUGGCUGGCCCUUCAAUCGCUCUUCUAUGUACGCGCGAUUUCGUGUGCCUCUUUUAAAAUCUCGAAACAGGCCGUUGAUCACGUGUCCUUCCAUGCGCACAACAGGUGGCAAUCGAAUCUGAUGAGAGAUGGGGCGCCAUCAAAAUGGGCCGUCGCCUCCCGCAUUGCAUGC
This is a long non-coding RNA of Drosophila willistoni, 759 nucleotides long. RefSeq lists it as uncharacterized. NCBI's taxonomy places the organism in Eukaryota, Metazoa, Arthropoda, Insecta, Diptera, Drosophilidae. The transcript has 3 exons. The record is from RefSeq and is a predicted model, not a curated record.